UAAUACAGAGGUGGCAAGCGUUGUUCGGAAUUACUGGGCGUAAAGGGCGAGUAGGUGGCCAUCUAAGUCAGACGUGAAAUCCCCCGGCUUAACCUGGGAACUGCGUCUGAUACUGGACGGCUUGAGUAUGGGAGAGGAACGUAGAAUUCCAGGUGUAGCGGUGAAAUGCGUAGAUAUCUGGAGGAAUACCGGUGGCGAAGGCGGCGUUCUGGACCAUUACUGACACUGAAUCGCGAAAGCUAGGGGAGCAAACG
RNAcentral lists this ribosomal RNA (254 nucleotides) under uncultured prokaryote. Its description in RNAcentral is "partial 16S ribosomal RNA". It matches the Rfam family "Bacterial small subunit ribosomal RNA", at positions 521 to 774 of the family's 1533-position model. The record is from RNAcentral.